CCUACGGGGGGCAGCAGUGGGGAAUAUUGGACAAUGGGGGGAACCCUGAUCCAGCCAUGCCGCGUGUGUGAAGAAGGCCCUCGGGUUGUAAAGCACUUUCAGUGAGGAAGAACGCCUGGUGGUUAAUACCCAUCAGGAAAGACAUCACUCACAGAAGAAGCACCGGCUAACUCCGUGCCAGCAGCCGCGGUAAUACGGAGGGUGCGAGCGUUAAUCGGAAUUACUGGGCGUAAAGCGCGCGUAGGUGGCUUGAUAAGCCGGUUGUGAAAGCCCCGGGCUCAACCUGGGAACGGCAUCCGGAACUGUCAAGCUAGAGUGCAGGAGAGGAAGGUAGAAUUCCCGGUGUAGCGGUGAAAUGCGUAGAGAUCGGGAGGAAUACCAGUGGCGUAGGCGGCCUUCUGGACUGACACUGACACUGAGGUGCGAAAGCGUGGGUAGCAAACAGGAUUAGAUACCCCGGUAGUC
Molecule: ribosomal RNA, 465 nt
Filed under: Vreelandella stevensii
Lineage: Bacteria; Pseudomonadati; Pseudomonadota; Gammaproteobacteria; Oceanospirillales; Halomonadaceae
Description: partial 16S ribosomal RNA
Rfam family: Bacterial small subunit ribosomal RNA
Source: RNAcentral